Molecule: ribosomal RNA, 253 nt
Filed under: uncultured bacterium
Lineage: Bacteria
Description: partial 16S ribosomal RNA
Rfam family: Bacterial small subunit ribosomal RNA
Source: RNAcentral
GACGGAGGAUGCAAGUGUUAUCCGGAAUUACUGGGCGUAAAGCGCACGCAAGCGGUUGGACAAGUCUGGCGUGAAAUCCUCUGGCUUAACCAGGGGCGGUCGCUGGAGACUGUUCGGCUUGAGGCGAUGAGAGGGGUGCAGAAUUCCCGGUGUAGUGGUGGAAUGCGUAGAGAUCGGGAGGAAUACCAGUGGCGAAAGCGGCACCCUGGCGUCGUACUGACGCACAUGUGCGAAAGCGUGGGGAGCGAACGGG